RNAcentral lists this ribosomal RNA (684 nucleotides) under uncultured bacterium. RNAcentral describes it as "bacterial SSU rRNA". It matches the Rfam family "Bacterial small subunit ribosomal RNA", at positions 9 to 689 of the family's 1533-position model. The record is from RNAcentral.
GAGUUUGAUCCUGGCUCAGGAUGAACGCUGGCGGCGUGCUUAACACAUGCAAGUCGAACGGGGGAUGUACGGUGAAGAGAUUUCGGUCAAAUCAUGUGCAUCUUUAGUGGCGGACGGGUGAGUAACGCGUGGGUAACCUGCCUUACACAGGGGGAUAACACUUAGAAAUAGGUGCUAAUACCGCAUGAGCGCACAGGACCGCAUGGUCGAGUGUGAAAAACUGAGGUGGUGUAAGAUGGACCCGCGUCUGAUUAGCUAGUUGGUGAGGUAACGGCCCACCAAGGCGACGAUCAGUAGCCGGCCUGAGAGGGUGAACGGCCACAUUGGGACUGAGACACGGCCCAAACUCCUACGGGAGGCAGCAGUGGGGGAUAUUGGACAAUGGGGGGAACCCUGAUCCAGCGACGCCGCGUGAGUGAAGAAGUAUCUCGGUAUGUAAAGCUCUAUCAGCAGGGAAGAAGAAAUGACGGUACCUGAGUAAGAAGCCCCGGCUAACUACGUGCCAGCAGCCGCGGUAAUACGUAGGGGGCAAGCGUUAUCCGGAAUUACUGGGUGUAAAGGGAGCGUAGACGGUGAUGUAAGUCUGGAGUGAAAGGCGGGGGCCCAACCCCCGGACUGCUCUGGAAACUAUGUGACUGGAGUGCAGGAGAGGUGAGCGGAAUUCCUAGUGUAGCGGUGAAAUGC